Long non-coding RNA from Oncorhynchus tshawytscha (Chinook salmon), 2032 nucleotides. The record is from Ensembl. NCBI's taxonomy places the organism in Eukaryota, Metazoa, Chordata, Actinopteri, Salmoniformes, Salmonidae.
GGCAUGACGUUGAUUGAGACAUACCAUUUGAAUAUGUCUUAUCAAAUAUGAAAUUCAACAUAAUUUCAACCACCCAAUAUUUCUAUGUAGAAAUGUCAACGUAAUUUCAACAUAUUCAUAGUUCUGAUGAUUUUGUUGAAUUAGUUUUAUGUAAAAACCUGUUAGUCAGGUUAAGUCAUUGUAUUUAAGUUGAAGUUUUAUGUUAAUUUCAAUGUUGUCACCAAUAUGAAAUGUCAUGUGGUAUAUUCAGAGCAACUCAACUUGGUCUCAGAGCAUUUCGCAUUACUCAUUUAGUAUGAUAUGUUACGUUUGGCAUGGUUACAAAAGACAGACGGUUGCUUUUUUUUUACCCCCUUUUCUCCCCAAUUUCGUGGUAUCCAAUUGCUAGUGGUUACUAUCUUGUCUCAUCGCUACAACUCCCGUACAGGCUCAGGAGAGACGAAGGUCGAAAGCCAUGCGAAAGCCAUGCAUCCUCCGAAACACAACCCAACCAAGCCGCACUGCUUCUUAACAGUGUCCUGGCAACCUGGUUAGCGUGCACUGUGUUUCCUCUGACACAUUGGUGUGUCUGGCUCCUGGGUUGGAUGCGCACUGUGUUAAGAAGCAGUGUGGCAUGAGUGUGUUUUCGGAGGACACAUGACUUUCAACCUUUGUCUCUCCUGAGCCUAUACGGGAGCUGUGGCGAUGAGACAAGAUAGUAACUACAAACAAUUGGGGAGAAAAAGGGGGUAAAAAAAAUCAAAUAAAUACAUAUCAGUAAUUAGUGAUUAGUAAUGGCGCUGGAGGACAUGGCUGCCAUUUUAGCCAAAUGUGCUGUUUUGUUUGUUUUUCACGUUGAUUGUAACUUAUUUUAUACAUAAUGUUUCUGUCACCAUCUCUUAUGACUGAAAAGUGCUUCUGGAUAUCAGAACAGCGAUUACUCACCUCGAACUGGAUGAAGAUUUUUUUCUCGGACGCGAAGAAUUUACUCCAGAUACCGGACCAGGGCCAAGUCCCUUUAAUUCGCAUGUAGAAAAUAUGCCAAUACAGGGGACAUAGGUCCGGUUGUCUUGAUAGAAUUCGUCGACGAGUGGGUAACCCGCCUCUACCAUCCGUCCUAUUGGCCGACGUGCAAACAUUGAAGAAUAAACUGGAUGAGCUCUAUUCAAGACUAUCUUACCAAUGGGACAUUAACUGUAAUGUCUUAUGUUUCACCGAGUCGUGGCUGAACGACAACAUGGAUAAUAUACAGUUCGCAGUUUUUUCUGUGCAUUGGCAAGACAGAAUAGCUGUUAUUUGUAAACAGCUUCAAGUUUCGACAGGCAGGCUCAGGGCAGGCAGAAUGGUCAAAUACCAGGAAAGCUAGAAAACAGGAACUACCAACAGAAAGGCGCACGGGGAAAAACAGCCGAGAGGCUUGACGAAACAAAACGAACUGGCAACAGACAGAGAACACAGGUAUAAAUACACUGGGGAUAAUGAGGAAGAUGGGCGACACCUGGAGGGGUGGAGACAAGCACAAAGAGAGGUGAAACAGAUCAGGGUGUGACACUGAGUGUGGUUAUAUUUCUCCAGGCCCAUCCCUCAGCUUUUUACCAAAACAGAGGCGGGGCCACGGUUUGUUAUUAUUUCCUCUGUGGAUUUGCCCUUCAAACAGCUGCAUAUUAUCAAGGUAUCAAAGUGUAGGUCUAUUCCAUGAGCGCAGCAUUUAUUUUUCAACUCGAAUCAAUGAGCCCAAUCAGUCCCCCAUGAAAACAAAAUCAUAAACAACAGAGUAGGGCUGGCUAAUGAGUCAUUAGUUUUGGGGUUAUGGCAGUUAAGCCACUGUUCCCCGGGCACCGAAGAUGUGGAUGUUGAUUAAUACAUGCUUUGGUAGGAGUGUUAGGUCAGUAACUGAAAGGUUGCUGGAUUGAAUCGCAGAGGUGUGACGUAGAAGUCCGUCACUGGCCGCGGGCAGCAUUUGGUUCUUUAACGCACACACAUAUUCAUCACUCCUCCCUGCGCCAUUAUAUCAUAAGUUAACAAUGUGGGUCGACACACAAUUUAACUUCUG